GACGAACGCUGGCGGCGUGCUUAACACAUGCAAGUCGAACGGAAAGGCCCUGCUUUUGUGGGGUGCUCGAGUGGCGAACGGGUGAGUAACACGUGAGUAACCUGCCCUUGACUUUGGGAUAACUUCAGGAAACUGGGGCUAAUACCGGAUAGGAGCUCCUGCUGCAUGGUGGGGGUUGGAAAGUUUCGGCGGUUGGGGAUGGACUCGCGGCUUAUCAGCUUGUUGGUGGGGUAGUGGCUUACCAAGGCUUUGACGGGUAGCCGGCCUGAGAGGGUGACCGGCCACAUUGGGACUGAGAUACGGCCCAGACUCCUACGGGAGGCAGCAGUGGGGAAUAUUGCACAAUGGGCGGAAGCCUGAUGCAGCAACGCCGCGUGCGGGAUGACGGCCUUCGGGUUGUAAACCGCUUCCGCCUGUGACGAAGCGUGAGUGACGGGAAUGGGUAAAGAAGCACCGGCUAACUACG
Molecule: ribosomal RNA, 466 nt
Filed under: uncultured bacterium
Lineage: Bacteria
Description: partial 16S ribosomal RNA
Rfam family: Bacterial small subunit ribosomal RNA
Source: RNAcentral